Molecule: long non-coding RNA, 5461 nt
Filed under: Strigops habroptila (Kakapo)
Lineage: Eukaryota; Metazoa; Chordata; Aves; Psittaciformes; Psittacidae
Description: lncRNA (ENSSHBG00005004945.1)
Source: RNAcentral
GCUACUUUUGUUAUUUAUUCAGAAUGGUUCUUAUUGUAUAUUUAAAUAAAGGCUUGCUACCCCAUAAAAAUACUACCAACAGAAAAAUAAUCUAUUAUUUAUUCAGAGAUUAGCAAAAAAUAAGUCACUAAUGUUCAAAAAUGAUGAGUGAAACUCAAGAAAAAUGUAGGGAUAUGGUUUAAAAGUCACAAUUGGUUUGAUUAGGAUUGCUGGGACUUUAAGAAAAACUUCACUCCCAUUAUGUAGUAAGCCAUUCUGAGCUACAUAAUGCAGUUGACCAGCUGUGAUGGGCUUGUUGACGAGGAUGGUGUGUUUAAAAAAAGAAGGCAGGCAGGAUCUUGCUUGGGGGAAGAAGAAAUAGAUUUGCAUAUGGUUUAGACGGCACUAAGUGUGUGAUAAAAAGUCUUGAUGAGUAGAGAAACCUGCUGGGAAGAAAAAGAAAGUAGAAUUAUAGGAGUUCUAGGCCAUCUUUACUUUACAUAGAUGAUGUGCAAAGCAAUUAAUUAUCAGCAAAGUAGUCCACAGAGAACUUUUAUGGAAAAACUGCAAAUGAAUCCUCUUUUUCUUGUGUUGCAAAAUUACUUGUACAGAAAAUGUCAUUUAUAUGAUGUUACUCAGAGAGAAACUGAAUGAGCAGAGUUCCUUCAAUUUUCAUUGUUAUAUUGAAAUGGAUGAUCAUCUUGCAUUCCGCUUUCAAAAAGAAAUAUCUCAAUAGACACAUCUGAAAAAUAAAGAAAUUGCCUUAGAGUGCUUCAAAAAUAUAUUCUGAUUAAGUCAUAGGUUAAAUGUAAAAAAUAUCUACUUUAGUUGUAAACAAAAUCAAUGUAUUGAAAUAGAUAAAGGCUGAAAAUUAAUACCAAGAAAUAGCUUGGAACGAGUUGAUCACAGGACUCCAUAUUGUUUAAUUGGCUAACAUGUGACUCGAAUAAUUUGUAAUGAUCAUGUUUUUGAUCUAAAAUGUUAAGCUUGGCCAGUGUUUCAUGAAUGCACUCUAUAGCUAUACUAUUUUGACCUGUGGUUUCCUUAUACGCAAGGCAAAAACUCCAUCAUACUAUAGUAAGACUAAAAAUCUAACCCUUUGUUUCCCAACUUGUGUGUCUAUUAUCAAGCAUAGAGCUGAAUGAUCUUAUAAGGUAUGGCCACUGUAAGGUUUCUAAAGAUGGCUUUAAAUAUGUAAUUAGAGCUCAGCUUUUCUAAGCUGAAUGCCUGAAAAAGAGGACACUGGACUUUAUGUUUCUAAAGAUUUAUAGGGAUACCUGUACUGAGCAAAGAAAUAUUCAAAGAACCCAUUAAUUGGUACCAAAUGGGACAGACAGCGUCGCAGAGAUCAUCUAGCGCAGACUGAUGCUAUCCAGAGACACAUGCUUCCCUAAGCGUACUGCCACAUUGCUAUAGUCUUGGACUGGCUUAGCAGCUAUGGCUUCGUGCUCUACUGAUUCAACUAUAUUACUUCUGGCUUUGCUACAAAAUGCAAAUGCUCCCACCCCCUUUCAUUUUAAUUUCUGUCGGGUUGUCAAACCCUUCUUCAGUCUUUGAAAUUGUUAUCCUCAUCUCUGUUGAAAGACAGUGAAACUAGGACUUGUGAGAAUCAGCAGUAAUAUUUAUGAAAAGCAGGAUACAGAAAUUCUUACAAUUGAAACAUAAUAAGAUUCCCUGAAAAUACAAGUAAAUGGUGUAAAAGUAAGCAAUACACGGACCUAUUAGUAUUGACCAUAUUUAUGCUAAUGCUCAUAUAACUCAGCCAGGGAAUGAAGAAUUUGUCCUCUUUUUAAAAAAUAUAUUCUUUUUCUGCUUAAAUCAUUAGUAUUGCAUAGAACAUGCUAUUCUAAUCAGCUUUAGUAGAAUGCAAAUAAAAUAUGCAGUUUCCUAUUCUCUUUCUCAUAUUCCACCAAUACGGAUAUGGUAAUUCAAUCUGAUGGAAUACCAGGUGUCCCAUUGUGUAAAAAUGUUUUUAGUCAUAAAGUGAAUGAAAAGUUCAAUUUUCCGUUAGUAUUUUCCCCAUAAUUUUUUAUAGAAUCAUAUUUUCCUUUAUGCUGUUUUUUCCCAUAGCGUGCUUACGCAAUAGCCCAUCUGCAAUGCACAACUAAUGACAUGCAAGGUGUUUCAUUAGAGUGUGCUUUAGUUAUGAUAUCCCUGCUUAAUAAACAAAAAUGCCCUACUUUCUCAGAUGUUUUACUGAGACUGAUUACUUCCUUACUAGUUACAAUUUAUGGAAAAUGCAGUCUCUUUCAUCCCUCUUACACAGGAGUAACCAAUCCUGGGACAUCUCCACUGAAAGAUUACUAGAUACUGUACAGUAAAAUCUACAGUAACCAGUGAUUGUACUGCCUUCCAAUCUAUUAGAGAGCCAUUUCUUAGCACAAGCUUGUGUGGUGUCUGGUUGUGAAUCAUGAGGUUCCUCUGUAUGAAUCUUCUGUUUCCCUCCCCUGUACCUCUCCAGAAUAGCUUCUCAUCUAUGUUCAGCACUGUUGGCAUUGUUACCAGGUUAGCCAGGCUUUAAGAUACUUUUUGCCAAAGUCAAGCACAGCCAAAAUAAGCUGCUGCUUUCUGACUCUUGUUCUUGCUGUGUUCCAACCACACCGAUGUGAAGGAAGGAGAGAGAUUUUAAAUGGGGAACUUCAACACUUUUCUUUGAGCUAGAGAUGCCCAAGACUUUAGUUAACAUUUUCAUUCACUUUUUGGUUUGUCAGCCUGGAAAAAAUGGCUUGGGCUCUUAUUUUGAGCUCAUUAUAUUUGCAGAAAAUAAACAAGGGAUAUGAAGUGCGGAAAUGCCACUUAGCACUCCUGUACUCUUCUCCCCUUCUACUGGUAUGCUAGGUAUUGCAAAAGACCAAAACCUUGUUAUAAACUUAAAUUUAAUAUACAAGGUGGGGAUAUCUAAGCUAUCUGCCAUUGCCAAAGGUUUUAUGAAUACAGUAAUAUGAAUUAUAUUUAGCAAAGUAUUUCACAUUCCAAGGAAGUGAACCUUGAUCUUUUAUGGCACAUGGGACAAUAAAUCUUCAGACCACAUUUUUUGACCCAAACACUUAUGAAAACUUCUCUUACAGCGAAUUCAUGGGUUGAAGGAUACUGAAGAAACAGGGCCACUGGCUGUGACCCUGCAGACGCUGCCUGUAUGUAUACGACUGGAAAAGCGUUUGCAUAGCUACAGCGUAAUUUGUGGUGGAAGGAGGCCUCAUUACUCAGGUUUCCAUUAGAAAGGAAUGCUAGAUGGAUAGGCAUAGAGAGGGCAAGCACAGGUUUCCCAGGAUGCAUGUUCCAGGAACCAGGGCGUCUGGCUCCAUCACAUACCUGCCCUACAGAAUACAUGAGCCAUCAAUCUUCUGGAUGUCUUCCAACACACAGUUCAACCCUUCUUUUCACUAAAAGGGAAGAAAGAAACCAGCAAACUAAACUAUGCUGUCACUAUUCUGUCUGAAAUAGCUUUUGUUUGGUUUUGGGCACCUUGUUGGCUAAAGACUUCAUUUCCAUUUCUCUACAAUUUCUAAGACAAAAAUCUGUGUUUAUUUUAAAGGAAACUUUAUUGAUCUCUGCUCUGGCGGUUCUAAGAAACUGUUUAGGAGUCAGCUGGGAAUGUGCAACAUGCUCUUAAAUGCAAUCACAAUGCCCCUUUUGGUCUGCCCUUUCCUACCCACCACUCAGCCAACAUGUGAGAAACAAGGGAGAGAAAGGGUACAAGCCCAGGGUUCCUCAUUCAAGUCACACCUGUGGUCCAAAGACAAUCUGCCUCUUCUGUUGUUCAGUAUGGGGCGUUUUGCUAAGUAUAUUUCAAUAUGACAAGUAUCUCAAUAAACUGAAAACACACUUCAUCAUCUACCUUACUUUUGCAUCUGUAGGGGUGAAUCGAUGACAUUUCCAGCAUUUUUCCCCAUGGAAAGAAGACAAAAGACACAUUAGAAGUCUAAGGACAUCACAGGCAAGCUGCAAGCUGAGGAAUGUGUAUAGAAAUGAGUCAGGUUAGUAGCCGCUUUGGGCAGCACCAUUCACAUGGAGUAUCAGGCACUAAAUCAUAUACAAACAUGAUCAGGAAAGAGUUCUGCUCUCACGUUAUGGGUUAUUACAAUCAACUCAUUGGAAAGGUUCUUUAAUACUAGAGAAACCAGUUCCAAUUUAUGUUAUUAUUAUCAUCAUUAUCAUCAUCAUCAUUCUCAUUAUUACUGCCUCACAAUAUUUUCUAUAUAGCUUGGCUUGCUUAUCCCUAACAAUUAGCAAAGUGACCUGCCUUCUACUUUGUACAAUCCAAGCACCAAAGAGCCUUGACAAUCAAUUUCUGAAGUGACUGAGCAGCAGAAUUGCACAGCAAGUGUACAUACUGAAAUGGUGAUGAUUUGUAGGGCUUUGUAAAUCACACAGUUAAAAAAAAAAAAUAUGAACAAUCCAUCAGCUUUUCUAUCAAACUAAGAGGAGGAACUCAGAUUUGACCUACAGGAUGUCUGAAUUUACAGACUUCUUUUUACAACUAACUGAAAUGUUGCAAGCACAAAGUGAUAAAUGCAUUCAGCACAAGAGAAUGCAUUGUUUUCUGUUCUAAUUACUUUAUAGCCUUUCAAGUGAGAGGUCAAAGAAGUAGGCUGAUUAUCUCAAAAAAUUUAAUUAGCAAAAAGUGUUAUUAACUGAGGUCCUUCUUUGUUUGAGAGCAGCAAACAAUGCAUUUCAGAGGUCAACAGUUGAAGGAAACUGAACAAUUAAAACCACUUAGAAGUCCUUUGGGGUCAGUUACAAUUCAUUACAUUUUUGUUCCAGAUCGGCUUACUUUGGCACAUCCACAAUACUCCAGUAUCUUGAGAGUAUGCUUUAGGAACCUUAAUAUCUUAGUUCUUCUCUGAUGUACAGGGAAGCUGGUGGUACUGCAUAUGGUAGUGCUCCAGAAAUGUUACCUUCAGAGCAGCAAAUAUCUACUCACUGUCUUGACUACUGCUCAUCUUAAACAGCUUCAGAUGAAGCAGCUACUAUUACAUUGGAGAGGUUACUCUAUCAAAUCCAGCUAACACUUUCAUUUAUAAUACUUUCUAGCAGCCUGCUCUUGACAGUGACGUUCCCCUCUGUGGUUUGCUGCAGUGCUUCAGUAUGUGAAAAGAACACAACCCCUAGGUGAAACAUUCUGUUCUUGUGGAAAUCCACUUCAGAGUCAAAAUCACCCUUUCCCAAACAGGGUUCAUACUGUACAAGUAUCGUGGUUGAACCCCAGCCACUAACUCAGCACCACACAGCCAUUUGCUCACCCCACCAUUUUCCCCCCUCCCCGGGUGGGAUGGGUGGUAGAAUCAAAGGAAUGUAAAACCUGCAGGUUGAAAUAAGAACAGUUUAAUGACUAAAGUACAAUAUACUACUACUACUAUUACUAAUAAUAAUAACAAUAAGGGAAAUAACAAGGGGAGAGAAUAUAAAUCUAAAAGUGGAAAGGAAAGAAAAACAGUGAACACAAGUGAUGCACAAUACAAUUGCUUACCUCUUGCUGACC